AUUGAACGCUGGCGGCAGGCCUAACACAUGCAAGUCGAACGAGUGGCGGACGGGUGAGUAAUGUCUGGGAAACUGCCAGAUGGAGGGGGAUAACUACUGGAAACGGUAGCUAAUACCGCAUACCAUCGGAUGUGCCCAGAUGGGCUUAGCUGGUAGGUGUGGUACCGGCUCACCUCGGCGACGAUCCCUAGCUGGUCUGAGAGGAUGACCAGCUACAUGUGAAGGUAGACAGGUUCCAGACUCCUACGGGAGGCAGCAGUGGGGAAUAUUGCACCAUUGGCGCAAGCCUGAUGCAGCCAUGCCGCGUGUGUGAAGAAGGCCUUCGGGUUGUAAAGCACUUUCAGCGGGGAGGCGUUACCCGCAGAAGAAGCACCGGCUAACUCCGUGCCAGCAGCCGCGGUAAUUC
Molecule: ribosomal RNA, 406 nt
Filed under: uncultured bacterium
Lineage: Bacteria
Description: partial 16S ribosomal RNA
Rfam family: Bacterial small subunit ribosomal RNA
Source: RNAcentral